Non-coding RNA from Myotis brandtii (Brandt's bat), 308 nucleotides. Lineage: Eukaryota; Metazoa; Chordata; Mammalia; Chiroptera; Vespertilionidae. The record is from Rfam.
GGAUAUGAGGGUGAUCUGGCUGUGACAUAUGUCACCCCAUUCAUUGUCAGGGUUUAUUUGGCUUAUCUGGCUAGCUAGGCAGGUGUCACUCUCCUCCCUCAUUGAUCCAAGUGCAUCCCUCCCAAAGCUCAGGGCUUGAUUGAAGAGGACAACCUUCCCCCCAGAGCAAAGGGCUGGUCUUUGGUCAAGGGGAUACCAGUAGUAGUGCUCCCCUGCUAAAACCCCCAAACAAGCUCUCAAGGUCCCAAGCAACAAGGCCCUUAUACCUAUAGAUUGACAUUGAACUCAGAAUCCAAUUGUUUGUCUUU